This 484-nucleotide ribosomal RNA is filed under the name uncultured Flavobacteriaceae bacterium. RNAcentral describes it as "bacterial SSU rRNA". It matches the Rfam family "Bacterial small subunit ribosomal RNA", at positions 28 to 505 of the family's 1533-position model. The record is from RNAcentral. Lineage: Bacteria; Pseudomonadati; Bacteroidota; Flavobacteriia; Flavobacteriales; Flavobacteriaceae.
GAUGAACGCUAGCGGCAGGCUUAACACAUGCAAGUCGAGGGGUAACAUUUGGAGCUUGCUUCAAGAUGACGACCGGCGCACGGGUGCGUAACGCGUAUAGAACCUACCUUCAACUAAGGAAUAGCCUCGAGAAAUUGGGAUUAAUGCCUUAUAAUAUAUUCGAUUCGCAUGUUUUGAAUAUUAAAGAUUUAUUGGUUGAAGAUGGCUAUGCGUCUUAUUAGCUAGUUGGUAAGGUAAUGGCUUACCAAGGCUACGAUAAGUAGGGGUCCUGAGAGGGAGAUCCCCCACACUGGUACUGAGACACGGACCAGACUCCUACGGGAGGCAGCAGUGAGGAAUAUUGGACAAUGGAGGCAACUCUGAUCCAGCCAUGCCGCGUGUAGGAAGACUGCCUUAUGGGUUGUAAACUACUUUUGUAUAGGAAGAAUUGCAGUUACGUGUAACUGUUUGACGGUACUAUAAGAAUAAGGAUCGGCUAACUCCG